Molecule: ribosomal RNA, 305 nt
Filed under: uncultured bacterium
Lineage: Bacteria
Description: bacterial SSU rRNA
Rfam family: Bacterial small subunit ribosomal RNA
Source: RNAcentral
GUUGCCUACGGGACGCAGCAGUGGGGAAUAUUGGGCAAUGGGCGCAAGCCUGACCCAGCAACGCCGCGUGAAGGAAGAAGGCUUUCGGGUUGUAAACUUCUCUUGUCAGGGACGAAGCAAGUGACGGUACCUGUCGAAUAAGCCACGGCUAACUACGUGCCAGCAGCCGCGGUAAUACGUAGGUGGCAAGCGUUAUCCGGAUUUAUUGGGUGUAAAGGGCGUGUAGGCGGGAAUGCAAGUCCGAUGUGAAAACUAUGGGCUCAACCCAUAGCCUGCAUUUGAAACUGUAUUUCUUGAGUGCUGGG